UACGUAGGGUGCAAGCGUUGUCCGGAAUUCUUGGGCGUAAAGGGCUCGUAGGCGGUUUGUCACGUCGGGAGUGAAAACUCAGGGCUCAACCCUGAGCGUGCUUCCGAUACGGGCAGACUAGAGGUAUGCAGGGGAGAACGGAAUUCCUGGUGUAGCGGUGGAAUGCGCAGAUAUCAGGAGGAACACCGGUGGCGAAGGCGGUUCUCUGGGCAUUACCUGACGCUGAGGAGCGAAAGCAUGGGGAGCGAACAGG
This 253-nucleotide ribosomal RNA is filed under the name uncultured bacterium. RNAcentral's name for it is "partial 16S ribosomal RNA". It matches the Rfam family "Bacterial small subunit ribosomal RNA", at positions 524 to 776 of the family's 1533-position model. The record is from RNAcentral.